Molecule: ribosomal RNA, 470 nt
Filed under: uncultured bacterium
Lineage: Bacteria
Description: bacterial SSU rRNA
Rfam family: Bacterial small subunit ribosomal RNA
Source: RNAcentral
GGGGACCCGCAAGCGGUGGAUGAUGUGGAUUAAUUCGAUGCAACGCGAAAAACCUUACCUACCCUUGACAUGGAAGGAAUCCCGAAGAGAUUUGGGAGUGCCCGAAAGGGAACCUUCACACAGGUGCUGCAUGGCUGUCGUCAGCUCGUGUCGUGAGAUGUUGGGUUAAGUCCCGCAACGAGCGCAACCCUUGUCAUUAGUUGCUACGCAAGAGCACUCUAAUGAGACUGCCGGUGACAAACCGGAGGAAGGUGGGGAUGACGUCAAGUCCUCAUGGCCCUUAUGGGUAGGGCUUCACACGUCAUACAAUGGUACAUACAGAGGGCCGCCAACCCGCGAGGGGGAGCUAAUCCCAGAAAGUGUAUCGUAGUCCGGAUUGUAGUCUGCAACUCGACUACAUGAAGUUGGAAUCGCUAGUAAUCGCGGAUCAGCAUGUCGCGGUGAAUACGUUCCCGGGUCUUGUACACACC